This is a long non-coding RNA of Armigeres subalbatus, 377 nucleotides long. RefSeq lists it as uncharacterized. The record is from RefSeq and is a predicted model, not a curated record. NCBI's taxonomy places the organism in Eukaryota, Metazoa, Arthropoda, Insecta, Diptera, Culicidae. The transcript has 3 exons.
UGAGAUCAAAACAAUAUCACACAAACAUUCAAAUAAAUUUAUAGUUUAAAUUUAAAGACACAUUAUCUAUUAAAGUUCUGCCGUAAUGGUGCUUUUGUAGAUGUGUAAACAUGUUCUGCAGAAGGAUUUGUCAUACUGAUGAAAAGAAACUGUUUCAAGUGCGAUUAACAGUUCAUCUUUCCGUCGAUUUAGAGAUCUACAUCGAAAUAAUAAAGCAAACAUAAUGCGCAAAUAUUAUGAAUCACAAUUCGAGUUCUCACACGAUGUAUAUCUGGGUGCACAUGAUGUACAUCCGAACAGGAAAUCUACUGGUGGAGGCAUUACCAUCCGUGCUCUUCUGUAAUCUGAUACGGGCUAUAACCAUUGAAAACUUUGCC